This 303-nucleotide ribosomal RNA is filed under the name uncultured bacterium. RNAcentral describes it as "partial 16S ribosomal RNA". It matches the Rfam family "Bacterial small subunit ribosomal RNA", at positions 507 to 808 of the family's 1533-position model. The record is from RNAcentral.
AGCAGUCGCCACGGUAAUACGUAGGUCCCGAGCGUUGUCCGGAUUUAUUGGGCGUAAAGCGAGCGCAGGCGGUUAGAUAAGUCUGAAGUUAAAGGCUGUGGCUUAACCAUAGUACGCUUUGGAAACUGUUUAACUUGAGUGCAAGAGGGGAGAGUGGAAUUCCAUGUGUGGCGGUGAAAUGCGUAGAUAUAUGGAGGAACACCGGUGGCGAAAGCGGCUCUCUGGCUUGUAACUGACGCUGAGGCUCGAAAGCGUGGGGAGCAAACAGGAUUAGAUACCCCUGUAGUCCCUGUCUCUUAUACA